GCCGCCGCCGCUGCAACCCCGACAAGCUGCUUGUCGUCCAUGAUGAAGGCCAUAGGCCGACUUGCACUUAACCUCCUAGGCUUUGGUGUAAACGAGAUCAUCUUCUAGCUACAGCGGCAAAUCGUCGAAUUUUCUGGUUUGCUCUCCAACGACGCAAUUCAUCAGCGCCAUCCUCGUUUUCCCUCGGCUUUAUUGCAUCCCAAUAAUCAUUGGUGAGAAUUCCAGACUUGACGAUGCUCGUUUUCUACCCAUCUGCUACUGCUAUUUAUAUGCUCAUGACCAUGUUUCAAGCUACGGCAUGCGACGAGCAAGUCCAAGCCGCCGCCGGUGCACUCUCCCGAUCGAAGCCGGACUCAUCGAACCCCGAGAUGGACACUGACAAGUUAGCUGUGGACGCCUGGAGCUCUCCCUAUCCAUGAUAAACACUUUGGUGAGAUCUCCAUCAUCUGCUCUUGAUCCUUAGAGUCAGUGAAUUAUGCUUAGCAACAGCCAUUGCCGGUUCCAAAUGCAAUUGGUAGCUUGAUGACAUCAUACUGACAUCAUGAUGACGCAGAUGAAUUUUGUUGCCGUUUUUCUUUAGAAAAACAAAUCUAGAAAUACAAAGAAAAUACACUAGUUUGUUUAGGCCAUAUCUUCUCCGUUUUAAUUCCGAUUUUCGUGAACUUUACGUUUGUGUGAUCGUAGCGCUGCAUAGAAUAUUUUGAUAAACUUUUAUAUUUGUUUUACUACUGUUUGGUGUAUUGUUCUAAUUAUAGCUUGUUUGCUUCGUGUAUGUUUGUCUCCGAUUGUUUGCGUGCUGUUGAUUGAUGUUUGGGAAUAGACGGUGAGCCGUGCGUUGUUGAUCAAGA
RNAcentral lists this long non-coding RNA (848 nucleotides) under Sorghum bicolor (sorghum). RNAcentral's name for it is "long non-coding RNA (SBIC_LNC000550)". Lineage: Eukaryota; Viridiplantae; Streptophyta; Magnoliopsida; Poales; Poaceae. The record is from RNAcentral.